Molecule: long non-coding RNA, 904 nt
Organism: Schistocerca nitens (vagrant locust)
Lineage: Eukaryota; Metazoa; Arthropoda; Insecta; Orthoptera; Acrididae
Exons: 3
Source: RefSeq, a predicted model, not a curated record
GUGCUAGAGUGCAAGGUCCGUAAAAAAAAAUCUAGAGUGGAGACUACACUGCAACCAAGUUGGUCGGUUGGUUGAUAAGUUGGUGCGUGUGUAUAGGGGCAUAAAAGUUUGUAAUCCAUUCCAGAAAGUUGAUAUAAUUGCCAGGUUCUGAAUGCAGUAUUUUCCGUAGGAUAGUCUUCAGCAUGGAUCAGCAGACACAAUUUUAGAGACUGCAAUGAGAUGAAAAUAUCAGCUUGGAUGCAGCUACAGAGGUUCCAUCAAUGAAGCCUUAGAAGAGUGCCAACACCCUCGGAAGAAGUAUUAAGACAACAAUUUUACAGGCUGCUUUACUUCACGGAGCUGUGCCAAAUCUGCCUUCCGUGCAUGGCAUCACUCCAGCCCUUUCUCGAAGGUUCCACAUGCUGCCAUUACAUCUCUACAAGAAGAAAACUGUGCCAGCCUCAACAGCCAGUGAUUUCAACUACUGAUAAUGGUGGCAGACAGCUAUAAAAAGCCCAAAUGUUUAUUUGAAGUGAUGUGGGUUGUAAACCAAGCAGAUGUUAUUAAAGUUCUGUUUUAUUUGAGUUCCCCUAGGGUUCAGAUGCUGUCAACCUGCAGUGGGUCAUUUGUACAUACUGUGAAGAGAACACAUUACAGACAGUUAAAUAUGACGAACUCCUAUUUAAACAACUUGUAGUGUCAAUGAGGAAUAAUCAAUAUUAGGUGAAGGGGACUGAUUACCUGGAAGGUGCCCACAGUGGCAAUAAGAUUCUAGUCAUAUCGAAGUAAGAUACAUAAAGAAAGUCUAUUGAUGUUGCAAAACAUCAACACAAGAUGUACAAAAAGAAUAAAAUUCAGUCAGACUAAACCAGAACCGUCCUGGCGAUCAGUGCUAUGACCAAAGUCUACUAAUUAAAAAAAUAAA